ACACCUCAACUCUCAUGGUUUGCCAUGAUGAGCUUGGACUUUGGGGGUCUUGCUGGCCUAUUGUCAGCUCCUCUAAAAUGAAUCAGCUUGCCAGUGUUUGGUGGCAUCACAGGUGUGAUAACUAUCUACACUUGUGGAUUUCCAUCAGAUGACCUUCAGCGAUGAAGGUUCGCUGGGGCUCAUAAAUGUCUCUCCUCAGCGGAGAUGGCUCUUUUGAAU
RNAcentral lists this unclassified non-coding RNA (219 nucleotides) under uncultured Tomentella. RNAcentral's name for it is "partial internal transcribed spacer 2". The record is from RNAcentral. Lineage: Eukaryota; Fungi; Basidiomycota; Agaricomycetes; Thelephorales; Thelephoraceae.